This 76-nucleotide ribosomal RNA is filed under the name Actinomycetota bacterium. RNAcentral's name for it is "Actinobacteria bacterium partial 23S ribosomal RNA". The record is from RNAcentral. Lineage: Bacteria; Bacillati; Actinomycetota.
GGGUUGAUAGGCCGGAAGUGGAAGCGAAGCGAUUCGUGGAGCUGACCGGUACUAAUAGGCCGAGGAUUUAACUACA